This 309-nucleotide ribosomal RNA is filed under the name Triticum aestivum (bread wheat). Its description in RNAcentral is "partial small subunit ribosomal RNA". The record is from RNAcentral. Lineage: Eukaryota; Viridiplantae; Streptophyta; Magnoliopsida; Poales; Poaceae.
AUGAAGGUGAGGUACUUCAGAUUGCCUAUUUGUGGAGAAAGCUGCCCAGAUAAAUUAUUGCCAGCUAACCGCAGUGCUGUCAGAUUGCUGCAAGAGUAUAAGCUUUCUGGAACUUUGCCGCUGAAGUUGUUCAAGAAAACAUCUAAUGUUCUUAGAUUGGGAAGGAGGGAGAAAUUGACCUUUCUCCUCCAAUUUCUUGAGCUGUCCUAUAGAAACUGGAAUCUUGCCGCUGAAGCUGUUCCUUCCAAGAUCAAGGGUUACAAGAUUUCUGAGGUUGGUUAUAUCUGUACCAUCGAUAGCUCCAUGUAA